GAAUUCGUCGACAACCUGGUUGAUCCUGCCAGUAGUCAUAUGCUUGUCUCAAAGAUUAAGCCAUGCAUGUCUAAGUACAUACUGAUUAAUAGUGAAGCUGUGAAUGGCUCAUUACAACAGCCGUAGUUUAUUUGAUUCAUAGAGUUACAUGGAUACCUGUGGUAACCUAAGAGCUAAUACGCGCAAUUAUGCCCUGACUUCACAGGAAGGGCGCGGUUAUUAGACCAAAACCAAUCGGGCUUGUCCCGGUUUUUUGGUGACUCUGAAUAACUCUGUAGAUCGCACGGUCCUCGAACCGGCGACUCGUCAUUCAAAUGUCUGCCUUAUCAACUGUCGAUGGUAGUUUAUGCGCCUACCAUGGUUGUAACGGGUAACGGAGAAUAAGGGUUCGACUCCGGAGAGGGAGCCUGAGAAACGGCUACCACAUCCAAGGAAGGCAGCAGGCACGCAAAUUACCCACUCCCAACACGGGGAGGUAGUGACGAAAAAUAACGAGACGGUUCUCUAAGAGGCCCGUCAUCGGAAUGGGUACAAUCUAAAUCCUUUAACGAGGAUCUAUUGGAGGCAAGUCUGGUCCAGCAGCCGCGGUAAUUCCAGCUCCAAUAGCGUACAUUAAAGUUGUUGCGUUUAAAAAGCUCGUAGUUGGAUCUGCGCCCAGGGUUAGCGGUCCCCUAACGGGAGGUACUGCUUUACCCGGGUUUAUCCUCCGGUUUUCCCUUGGUGCUCUUUACCGAGUGCUCUGGGUGACUGGAACUUUUACUUUGAAAAAAUUAGAGUGCUCAAAGCAGGCGGUUAGCCUGAAUAGUGGUGCAUGGAAUAAUGGAAUAGGACUUCGGUUCUAUUUUGUUGGUUUUCGGAACUCGAGGUAAUGAUUAAGAGGGACAGACGGGGGCAUUCGUAUUGCGACGUUAGAGGUGAAAUUCUUGGAUCGUCGCAAGACGUACUAUUGCGAAAGCAUUUGCCAAGAAUGUUUUCAUUAAUCAAGAACGAAAGUUAGAGGUUCGAAGGCGAUCAGAUACCGCCCUAGUUCUAACCGUAAACGAUGCCAGCUAGCGAUCCGCGGGAGUUAAAUAUAUGACUUCGCGGGCAGCUUCCGGGAAACCAAAGCUUUUGGGUUCCGGGGGAAGUAUGGUUGCAAAUCUGAACUUAAAGGAAUUGACGGAAGGGCACCACCAGGAGUGGAGCCUGCGGCUUAAUUUGACUCAACGCGGGGAAACUCACCCGGCCCGGACACCGUAAGGAUUGACAGAUUGAGAGCUCUUUCUUGAUUCGGUGGUUGGUGGUGCAUGGCCGUUCUUAGUUGGUGGAGCGAUUUGUCUGGUUAAUUCCGAUAACGAACGAGACUCUAGCCUACUAAACUAGGCAGUAGAUUUGGAUUGUUUACUGAACUUCUUAGAGGGACAGAGGGUUUCUAGCCCUACGAGAUUGAGCAAUAACAGGUCUGUGAUGCCCUUAGAUGUUCGGGGCCGCACGCGCGCUACACUGAAGGAAUCAACGAGCCUGAAAACCUAGUCCGGAAGGAUUGGGUAACCCGUUGAAACUCCUUCGUGCUUGGGAUAGGGGCUUGCAAUUGUUCCCCUUGAACGAGGAAUUCCUAGUAAAUGUGGGUCAUCAUCUCGCGUUGAUUACGUCCCUGCCCUUUGUACACACCGCCCGUCGCUACUACCGAUUGGAUGGUUUAGUGAGGCCCUUGGACUGGUCCCGAUACGGUCGCAAGACUGCGUCGGGUACCGGGAAGCGGGCCUAACUUGAUCAUUUAGAGGAAGUAAAAGUCGUAACAAGGUUUCCGUAGGUGAACCUGCAGAAGGAUCAAGCUUGGAUCCCGGGAAGCCGAAUUCUGCAGAUAUCCAUC
RNAcentral lists this ribosomal RNA (1852 nucleotides) under Enoplus meridionalis. RNAcentral's name for it is "SSU rRNA". It matches the Rfam family "Eukaryotic small subunit ribosomal RNA". The record is from RNAcentral. Lineage: Eukaryota; Metazoa; Nematoda; Enoplea; Enoplida; Enoplidae.